RNAcentral lists this ribosomal RNA (328 nucleotides) under uncultured Bacillota bacterium. RNAcentral describes it as "bacterial SSU rRNA". It matches the Rfam family "Bacterial small subunit ribosomal RNA", at positions 28 to 351 of the family's 1533-position model. Lineage: Bacteria; Bacillati; Bacillota. The record is from RNAcentral.
GACGAACGCUGGCGGCGUGCCUAAUACAUGCAAGUCGAGCGGGUUUAUCCUUCGGGAUAAGCUAGCGGCGGACGGGUGAGUAACACGUAGGCAACCUGCCUUCAAGAUCGGGAUAACUAUCGGAAACGAUAGCUAAGACCGGAUAGCUGGUUUUCUCGCAUGAGAGAAUCAUGAAACACGGAGCAAUCUGUGGCUUGAAGAUGGGGCCUGCGGCGCAUUAGCUAGUUGGUGAGGUAACGGCUCACCAAGGCGACGAUGCGUAGCCGACCUGAGAGGGUGAACGGCCACACUGGGACUGAGACACGGCCCAGACUCCUACGGGUGGCUG